Molecule: long non-coding RNA, 754 nt
Organism: Nicrophorus vespilloides
Lineage: Eukaryota; Metazoa; Arthropoda; Insecta; Coleoptera; Silphidae
Exons: 3
Source: RefSeq, a predicted model, not a curated record
AGUUUUAAAAACGCGCAUUCCAAAACAAUAAUACUCAAUCAAUGAUAGCAAUGAGCCAAUAACCAAAUGGGACGUUACAUUGGCUGGAAGGGGGAUGUGACAACCCUGUUUACAAAUGUAGCGAUUGAUUCUUCCAAUGCUGUUUGAGCCGAGCACCCCGAGUGCCGUGGACGUACGCUCUCACAACAGACCAACCCGCAUCGCAGCUCCAACUUCAUUCAUCAUCAUCAAUUCAUGAUCUGCAUAUGAAGAAGAGCGGUCACUGCAGACGCCGAAGGAUGGGGUAUGAAUCGUGCCUAGAAGGAAGUUCCAAGUUCAAGUUUAAACGCAAGUGAUGAUCCUACUCCCGUACGGAUACACGGUGAUUCAUUGACGAUAAACAUAUUCACCGAGGAUAGUUUAGAUUGGGCACGUCGAGCGCUCUGAUUGUUAAUAAAAUACCUAUGUCAUCUGUCAAAGCUGUCAGUCAACGUUUACAAGACCUACGACAUCGACAUGACACGUCACUGUAUCACAUAGGGCGAUGACAUUGACAUUGAGGGAACGUUAUGUCGAUUGAUUGUGAAUUUGAACCGUAAUAUGUGUUUUGGUAAAAAAAAAAAAUUAAAACUGACCCAUAUCUCGAAACGAGGAGGAAACGAGACCGACAAAAAAAAAACAAACAAACAAACAGAAAAAAUUGAAAAACCGGAAACGCAUAUUUAUAAAAAUGCCGAGCGCCAAUCCAUUAAUAACUGCAUUGUAUUUAUUAGAA